CCUACGGGAGACAGCAGUGAGGAAUAGUGGUCAAUGGACGGAAGUCUGAACCAGCCAUGCCGCGUGCAGGAAGGCGGCUCUAUGAGUUGUAAACUGCUUUUGUACAAGGGUAAACCUGAAUACGUGUAUUCAGCUGAAAGUACUGUACGAAUAAGGAUCGGCUAACUCCGUGCCAGCAGCCGCGGUAAUACGGAGGAUCCAAGCGUUAUCCGGAUUUAUUGGGUUUAAAGGGUGCGUAGGCGGAUUGAUAAGUUAGAGGUGAAAUGUCCGCGCUUCACUCGGGAACUGCCUCUAAUACUGUUGAUCUAGAGAGUAGUUGCGGUAGCCGGAAUGUAUUGUGUAGUGGUUAAAUGCUUAGAGAUCAUACAGAACACCGAUUGCGAAGGCAGCUUACCAAUCUAUAUCUGCCGUUGAGGCACGAAAGCGUGGGGAGCAAACAGGAUUAGAUACCCGGGUAGUC
RNAcentral lists this ribosomal RNA (460 nucleotides) under uncultured bacterium. Its description in RNAcentral is "partial 16S ribosomal RNA". It matches the Rfam family "Bacterial small subunit ribosomal RNA", at positions 338 to 795 of the family's 1533-position model. The record is from RNAcentral.